UAGAGGUUCCCACCCCCACCCCUAC
RNAcentral lists this non-coding RNA (25 nucleotides) under Rattus norvegicus (Norway rat). The record is from RNAcentral. Lineage: Eukaryota; Metazoa; Chordata; Mammalia; Rodentia; Muridae.